CCAACAGUGACUGCUGGGCUCUGGGCAGCGCUGAAUGGUGCUUGUGAGCCUCACAGUGCUGCUGCCACUGGCUCUGUUAGCCUUGCAACGGUUGCACAGUUCUUGGGAAGCACAGGUCCUGCUAUGUUUUGUCCCAGGGGGCUGCCAGAAGCCUGGAGCUCUUGAGGUGGUGUGGAGCCAUGUGCAAGUCUCUCAUGGUCUCCAGGGCAAAAUGAGGGGCCCCAGCCCUGUGCGCCCAGCCUGAAGCAUUGGUCUUGGCAAGGAUAAAACCUGCUACUGGUUUUGUUGGGAUGUCCUGACCUGUGUCUGCCCUGCCAUGUGUCACGCCUGGCCUGAGCCCUUGCUCCUUUCUGUCCCCACACACUGAUGGCCCCUGCACGGGUAGCGCAGGAUGCUGGGAUGACGUGCUGGGCCAGGCUGUGCCUCAGCUCUCGUGUGCAGAGGGCACUGCUGAGCACCCGUGCCCAGCUGGCAUGCUGGUAACGAGGAAGCGAGGAAGGAAAAACAACAAACCCCGGCUCAGCAAAGGAGGUGCAAACCACCCGAGUCAAAUCACGUCUCCCAGCGUGGUGGCACAGACAACACGGACUGUCCCCCAUCUGGAGGAAGCCUGGCAGCUGAGCAGACUGUGGUGACGCUUCCAGUGAACACUUGGAGCCAAACGAGAGGAAGGUUCUUCCGUGACCAGCAAGAGCAGGGAAAGACUCCUGGUGGCUGAAUGGUGGAGCAAAGCCAAGGUCCCAGCAGCCUGUCAUGUCUGUGGGUAGCAGAACAGCUCCAGCACACCCGUCCCUUUCCAUGGCCCCCGGCACAGCAGCGUAGUGCGGGGGAGAUGGAUGGGCUGUGGUAGGAUGAGCCCUGCCCUGCUCCUGCUGCUCUCCCUGGCCAGCUGCUCCCUGCUCCAGGGGACGCUACUGAGGCCACAGCACGUGAGGCUGGAGGCACAGAACUUCCACGUCUGGCUGCACUGGGAGCCAGACCCCAGCUUACCCAGCUCUGCCACCUACGAGGUGGAGUGGAGGAACAGAACCUCGAACUGGACCAAGGCAGGUGCCUGUGGGGGGAACAGCAGAAACUCCUGGGGGUGUGAGCUGCAUUUUGACAGGAUUCAUGAUAUCUACUGGGCACGGGUGAGAGUGGUGGCUGGAGGUGAGCAGUCCGAGUGGGCCGGUUCCAGCGAGCUGCAGCUGUACAGAGACACAAUUGUUGGCCCCCCAAAAUUGUCCUUGCUGCUCCAGGACCAAAUUCUCAGUGUAAACAUCACCACACCACUCACUCCCUACAAGAGAAGAACUGGCUCCUACAAGCGAGUCAACCAAGUGCUGCUGAAGCUGUGGUACUGGCUGCACCUCUACGAGGGGGAGCUGCUUGUCCAGCAGGUGCCCUGCAAACGGAGGAGUGAGGAAGUGCCUUGCACCUUUGAGCACCUGAAGGCCAGCACACAGUACUGCGUGCGGACAGUGGCUGCAGGCAUUGCCAGGGAGCGGAGCCGGGAGGCUGAGCAGUGCCUGCUGACUCCAGCAGCCCCUUCAGGUUUUCCAUGGCUGCCUGUUGUGCUGAGUACCUUUGUCCUGCUGCUGCUACUAAGUGUGGUCGGGUUCUGCUUCAUGUGGCUGCAUGUCUUUCCCAAUUCUCCAGAGACGUGUCUCCCAAAAGCACUGGCUCUCCAGAACAGCGAGCUGAGUGUGACCAUGCAGCUCCCUCCACUCCAGCUUGAGGAGGACCCCCUGGCCCAGCUCCUGCAGACUGCACUCCCCUCCCACGGGCCACCCGCAGCUGUGCAGGCAUCAGCCACGGUCCCACGGCUCCUCCAAGGCCUUGCCCAGGAUGUGAGUGGCUACUGUGCCAAUGGGUUCAGCCCAAACUGCACCGAGGGAAGGGAGCCAUCCUGCACCCACAGUCAGCUGGGACAUGCCUUAGCUUCCCAGCUCCCCUCACAGCUGGACGAGGAUGGGGAGGCAGGUGAUGGGGAUGAUUUGCCAGAGCAGCUGGUGCUAGUGGGACUGGCUGGACACAGCUACAUAGGUGACAGGGACAGCCAGACACCUGAGAUAUGGCAGCCCCUGCACCUCCAGCUUUAUUCUAAAUGCCAGUGCCCAGUCCUGGGAGCAGGCAGCCACCUUCCUCUGGCCGUGCCAAGCAGAAGCUGCAGGCAGGAGUACCUGCAGGAGAGUCUCGGCACGGCUGGGCACUGGAUCCAGCUCAGCUCCGUGAAGCUCCUGGCCAGCGUGGAGGCAGAGGGAGGGCAGCACCUCUGUGCUCCCCAAGCCCUGCGUGGCGACGGGACUGAGCCAGAACAAGGUGACGGCACCGUGCAGCGAGGCUGCUCGGAGCAGGCAGAACCGUCCCUCUCCUGCCCCAGCCAGCUGCCCCCCUCGCCCCGCAGCGGCCUGCGGCCCGCUGCCUCCUCUGGCUACGAGCCACGUGCCCCCAUCGGGCACUGAGCCACAGCCAGCAGGGCUCCCCGGCAGCCUCCAGCUGCCAGCAGAGCCCUCCCCGGGCUCCCCGGCCCUGAGGCUGCGUGUCCCAACCUGCUGGUGCUGGGGAUGGCACUGGGGCAGGCUCCCGGGGCAGGCAGAGACGUAUUCCGGGCACGGCCGCCAAGGAUCCGCCAAGGACGGGCAGGAUCCAGAACUUUCCUCUGGAACUUUGGUGCUCUUGAGACACAGCAUAAGGAGCAUGGACCAACACUGAGCCCCUAAAACUCUUAUCCAGAGAUGUGUCCGUAUGUGAACAUGUAUGGUACAGCAGCUAUACUAAUGUAUAUACAUAUAUAUUUAUAAAGCUCUUUAAUGAAAAAAUGUUGAGGUUUUUACUUCUGUGGAAAUGUUGAUUCUGUGCUGGAGUUGUUUUUAAAUAUCACUAAUUUAUUCUAGAA
Molecule: long non-coding RNA, 2878 nt
Organism: Chloebia gouldiae (Gouldian finch)
Lineage: Eukaryota; Metazoa; Chordata; Aves; Passeriformes; Passeridae
Source: Ensembl